UGUGGGAGCUGGCUUGCCUGCGAUAGCGGUGGACCCGCCAGCUCAUCUUUUACUGGCCCACCGUUAUCGCAGGCAAGCCAGCUCCCACA
RNAcentral lists this unclassified non-coding RNA (89 nucleotides) under Pseudomonas sp. bs2935. The record is from RNAcentral. Lineage: Bacteria; Pseudomonadati; Pseudomonadota; Gammaproteobacteria; Pseudomonadales; Pseudomonadaceae.